CCAAUAGCGUAUAUUAAAGUUGUUGCAGUUAAAAAGCUCGUAGUUGAAUUUCGGGAUUGACACAUCGGUCGUGCCUUAAGGGGUAUGAACUGGUGUAGUCAAUUUCUCACCUUCUGGAGAACGGCGAUGCCCUUAAUUGGGUGUCACGGGGAACCAGGACCUUUACUUUGAAAAAAUUAGAGUGUUUAAAGCAGGCAUUUUGCUUGAAUACAUUAGCAUGGAAUAAUAAAAUAGGACGGCAUGAUUCUAUUUUGUUGGUUUCUAGGAUCACCGUAAUGAUUAAUAGGGAUAGUUGGGGGCAUUAGUAUUCAAUUGUCAGAGGUGAAAUUCUUGGAUUUAUUGAAGACUAACUACUGCGAAAGCAUUUGCCAAGGAUGUUUUCAUUAAUCAAGAACGAAAGUUAGGGGAUCGAAGACGAUCAGAUACCGUCGUAGUCUUAACCAUAAACUAUGCCGACUAGGAAUCAGACGAUGUUAAUUUUUUAAUGACUCGUUUGGCACCUUACG
RNAcentral lists this unclassified non-coding RNA (506 nucleotides) under uncultured Entrophospora. RNAcentral's name for it is "SSU rRNA". It matches the Rfam family "Eukaryotic small subunit ribosomal RNA", at positions 591 to 1092 of the family's 1831-position model. Lineage: Eukaryota; Fungi; Glomeromycota; Glomeromycetes; Entrophosporales; Entrophosporaceae. The record is from RNAcentral.